AUUGAACGCUGGCGGCAUGCUUUACACAUGCAAGUCGAACGGUAACAGGCCUUCGGGUGCUGACGAGUGGCGAACGGGUGAGUAAUGCAUCGGAACGUACCCAGAGGUGGGGGAUAACGCAGCGAAAGCUGUGCUAAUACCGCAUGUGAUCUGAGGAUGAAAGCGGGGGACCGAGCAGCAAUGUUUGGCCUCGCGCCUUUGGAGCGGCCGAUGUCGGAUUAGCUAGUUGGUGGGGUAAAGGCCUACCAAGGCGACGAUCCGUAGCUGGUCUGAGAGGACGACCAGCCACACUGGGACUGAGACACGGCCCAGACUCCUACGGGAGGCAGCAGUGGGGAAUUUUGGACAAUGGGCGCAAGCCUGAUCCAGCAAUGCCGCGUGCGGGAAGAAGGCCUUCGGGUUGUAAACCGCUUUUGGCAGGAACGAAACGGUGUCCGCUAAUACCGGGCGCUAAUGACGGUACCUGCAGAAUAAGCAUCGGCUAACUACGU
This 491-nucleotide ribosomal RNA is filed under the name uncultured bacterium. Its description in RNAcentral is "partial 16S ribosomal RNA". It matches the Rfam family "Bacterial small subunit ribosomal RNA", at positions 30 to 506 of the family's 1533-position model. The record is from RNAcentral.